CAGUCGCCGCGGGAAUACGUAGGGGGCAAGCGUUGUCCGGAAUUAUUGGGCGUAAAGCGCGCGCAGGCGGUCAUUUAAGUCUGGUGUUUAAUCCCGGGGCUCAACCCCGGAUCGCACUGGAAACUGGGUGACUUGAGUGCAGAAGAGGAGAGUGGAAUUCCACGUGUAGCGGUGAAAUGCGUAGAUAUGUGGAGGAACACCAGUGGCGAAGGCGACUCUCUGGGCUGUAACUGACGCUGAGGCGCGAAAGCGUGGGGAGCAAACAGGAUUAGAUACCCGGGUAGUCCCUGUCUCUUAUACA
Molecule: ribosomal RNA, 301 nt
Filed under: uncultured bacterium
Lineage: Bacteria
Description: partial 16S ribosomal RNA
Rfam family: Bacterial small subunit ribosomal RNA
Source: RNAcentral